AGUGAACGCUGGCGGUAGGCCUAACACAUGCAAGUCGAACGGCAGCACAGUAAGAGCUUGCUCUUACGGGUGGCGAGUGGCGGACGGGUGAGGAAUACAUCGGAAUCUACUUUUUCGUGGGGGAUAACGUAGGGAAACUUACGCUAAUACCGCAUACGACCUACGGGUGAAAGCAGGGGAUCUUCGGACCUUGCGCGAUUGAAUGAGCCGAUGUCGGAUUAGCUAGUUGGCGGGGUAAAGGCCCACCAAGGCGACGAUCCGUAGCUGGUCUGAGAGGAGGAUCGGCCACCGUGGGAGUGGGAGACCGGCCAGACUGCUACGGGGAGCCGGAGCUGGGAAUUAUGGGAAAUGGGAGGAAGGCAUGUUCCGCCAUACCGGGUAGGUUGAAGAGGCCUUGCGGGUGGAAAGCCCUUUUUUUGGGGAAGGAAAGCUGCCGGUUAAUAACCCGGUGGUUUGACGGUACCCGAAGAAUAAGCAACGGCUAACUUCGUG
RNAcentral lists this ribosomal RNA (492 nucleotides) under uncultured bacterium. RNAcentral's name for it is "partial 16S ribosomal RNA". It matches the Rfam family "Bacterial small subunit ribosomal RNA", at positions 30 to 507 of the family's 1533-position model. The record is from RNAcentral.